AGCCGAAACGCCCUUUGGGGCGUCCGCUGGAAAUGGCCUCCCAGCGCUGAUGAGGCAGGCCCGC
Molecule: non-coding RNA, 64 nt
Filed under: Planctomycetota bacterium
Lineage: Bacteria; Pseudomonadati; Planctomycetota
Source: RNAcentral